This 1363-nucleotide ribosomal RNA is filed under the name Terpios gelatinosus. Its description in RNAcentral is "eukaryotic LSU rRNA". It matches the Rfam family "Eukaryotic large subunit ribosomal RNA", at positions 68 to 1248 of the family's 3401-position model. The record is from RNAcentral. Lineage: Eukaryota; Metazoa; Porifera; Demospongiae; Suberitida.
ACAAGGAUUCCCUCAGUAACGGCGAGCGAAGUGGGAAGAGCUCGAGCCUGAAAUCCCUGGCAGGUACUGUCAGGGAAUUGUGGCCGGGAGAGGCAACUAGGCCCUGGUCGGCGCUGUCAAAGUUGACCUGGAAAGGCGCGUCAUAGAGGGUGAGAGCCCCGUACGUGACACCGUUGGCCUGGGCGUUAUUGCCUUCGGAGAGUCGGGUUGUUUGGGAAUGCAGCCCAAAGUGGGUGGUAAACUCCAUCUAAAGCUAAAUACUGGCACGAGACCGAUAGCAAACAAGUACCGUGAGGGAAAGGUGAAAAGUACUUUGAAAAGAGAGUCAAAAAGACCGCGAAACCGUUAGGAGGGAAACGAAUGCAGCUGAAUUAGCUCUGCUCAAGUUCAGGAGCGAUGUUGAUUGGCGAUGCCAGCGUUCAAAAGCCGAUAGGUUUUGUCGUCUGGAUAGCCGCCAACUCCUCUGCACUCUUGUGCAAGCUGGCCAACAACAGUUGCCCGUGGCUGAGAAGGGCCGUUGGGUAGGUGGUUACCUCUCGUAGGUAAAACUUAUAGCCAUCAGUCUGGAAGUCUGCGGGUGACUGAGGAUAACUUGGCAGCGUAGGCCUCUGGCCUUGGGCCACUUCUGGUCGUUUGGGUACCGCUUCAGGGACUGCGUGCAGUGUCUGUUGACGGCUGUCUGCUCGGGCGGGAGACUGGUCACACCUUACGCUGUAGUUGUUGGUGAUCAAAUGGCUGCAUCCGACCCGUCUUGAAACACGGACCAAGGAGUGCAACAUGCGUGCGAGUCUUUGGGUGGCAAACCCAGCGGCGCAAUGAAAGUGAAGGCAGGCGUUGGUCUGCUGAGGCGAGAGUCCUCUCGGGGACACAUCGUCAACCGAUCCCAGGUCACGCUGUGGCGGGAUUUGAGUGAGAGCGUGCCUGUUGCGACCCGAAAGAUGGUGAACUAUGCCUGAAUAGGGUGAAGCCAGAGGAAACUCUGGUGGAAGCUCGUAGCGAUUCUGACGUGCAAAUCGAUCGUCAAAUUUGGGUAUAGGGGCGAAAGACUAAUCGAACCAUCUAGUAGCUGGUUCCCUCCGAAGUUUCCCUCAGGAUAGCUGGAGCCCGGUGCAGUUUUAUCAGGUAAAGCGAAUGAUUAGAGGUCUUGGGGUUGAAACAACCUCAACCUAUUCUCAAACUUUAAAUGGGUAAGAAGCUUGGCUUGCUUAAUUGAAGUCAGGCAUGGAAUGCCGGGGCUCCUAGUGGGCCAUUUUUGGUAAGCAGAACUGGCGAUGUGGGAUGAACCAAAUGCUGGGUUAAGGUGCCCGAAUCAACGCUCAUCAGAUACCAUGAAAGGUGUUGGUUGAUCUAGACAGCAGGACGG